RNAcentral lists this ribosomal RNA (253 nucleotides) under uncultured bacterium. RNAcentral's name for it is "partial 16S ribosomal RNA". It matches the Rfam family "Bacterial small subunit ribosomal RNA", at positions 524 to 776 of the family's 1533-position model. The record is from RNAcentral.
UACGUAGGGUGCGAGCGUUAAUCGGAAUUACUGGGCGUAAAGCGUGCGCAGGCGGUUCGUUAAGUCAGAUGUGAAAGCCCCGGGCUCAACCUGGGAACUGCAUUUGAAACUGGCGGGCUUGAGUGUGGCAGAGGGGGGUGGAAUUCCGCGUGUAGCAGUGAAAUGCGUAGAGAUGCGGAGGAACACCAAUGGCGAAGGCAGCUCGCUGGGACGUGACUGACGCUGAGACGCGAAAGCGUGGGGAGCAAACAGG